RNAcentral lists this ribosomal RNA (259 nucleotides) under uncultured soil bacterium. Its description in RNAcentral is "partial 16S ribosomal RNA". It matches the Rfam family "Bacterial small subunit ribosomal RNA", at positions 26 to 285 of the family's 1533-position model. The record is from RNAcentral.
AGGACGAACGCUGGCGGCGUGCUUAACACAUGCAAGUCGAACGGUGAAGGAGAGCUUGCUCUCUGGAUCAGUGGCGAACGGGUGAGUAACACGUGAGUAACCUGCCCUUGACUCUGGGAUAAGCGUUGGAAACGACGUCUAAUACCGGAUACGAGCUUCAGUCGCAUGGCUAGGAGCUGGAAAGAUUUCGGUCAAGGAUGGACUCGCGGCCUAUCAGCUAGUUGGUGAGGUAAUGGCUCACCGAAGGCGACGACGGGUA